UACGGAGGGUGCGAGCGUUGUCCGGAAUCACUGGGCGUAAAGGGCGCGUAGGUGGCGCGGGAAGUCAACGGUGAAAGUUCGGGGCUCAACCCUGAAUCGGCCGUCGAUACUCCCGGGCUCGAGCACUGUAGAGGGCAGAGUGGAAUUCCGGGUGUAGCGGUGGAAUGCGUAGAGAUCCGGAAGAACACCGGUGGCGAAGGCGGUCUGCUGGGCGAG
This 216-nucleotide ribosomal RNA is filed under the name uncultured bacterium. RNAcentral describes it as "partial 16S ribosomal RNA". It matches the Rfam family "Bacterial small subunit ribosomal RNA", at positions 524 to 737 of the family's 1533-position model. The record is from RNAcentral.